CUUUCCCCAUUUUGCGCAGAUUUUCCUCUUUUUCUCUUGAAUUUUCUACUAUAAUGCUCCGUCGUAUAGUUCCUAGUAGAACCACCGUCAACCACCGUCGCGUAUAUCUAUCUAACUGUAAUCGCCACCGCUUCUUCUCUGCUAAUCCUUCAGAUUGCAAUUCAAAAGAUUCAACCGGUUACGCCCAUGACCUCAACGGUUCACAAGAUUCCCUUCCGCCACCACAACUUCCGGUUCUCCAUCGCCUCCGCCCUAGUUCUCUGUCUCCUCUUUCUCGCACUUCUCCUUUUGCCUUAUCAGCAACAGUGAUAUCCGCUGCGGCUGUUCUUGCUGCCUCUUAUGUCAUUUUAUUUGAUGACAGCCAAAUUAAGGAAGAACAGCCGAAUAACAAGCGCUUGUUUGAUGAUUUUGAGCACGCGGUUGAACGGUCGAAGGAGUCGUUGAAGAGAGUUGUGAAUACGAUGAAGCAUACCGGUGUUGCGGCAUCGGUUCUUUGGAAGUCUCUUCGUUCUGUUUUGUCUUCGGCGAACCAUGAAGUUUGGUCAGGGUUUGAGGUUAGGGUUGCGGCGUUGUUGGCGGAUAUUGCGGCGGCGAAUGAGAGCCGGAGGGCUGCGAUUGUAGGCGCUGGUGGUGGUGUGGUGUUGGAUUGGUUAUUGGAGUCUGUGGCGCUCACCGGAGGAGGAAACUAUGGGACUCAGGCGGAGUCGGCUAGGGCACUGGCAUACUUGAUUGCUGAUCCUAAUGUGUGUGAGGCUGUUCUUGGUAGGUCUCAUGCUAUCCCCAAUCUUCUGAGGUUCAUAUUCUUUGCUCAACCACAUCAAUCGGAAAAGCAACCACGGCGCAGUUCGUUCGAUAUUUCUGAUCCUUCGAGAGGCAGGAGCAUGCUUGUUGCAGCAAUCAUGGAUAUUGUCACUUCCAACUGUGACAACGUGGACAAGAUCAGGCUUAAGCCCAAGCUAUCAGGGGCUGCUGCAAUGAGAGAUAUUGCAGCUGCACUUCAGGUUGUUGAAGAAGGUGGCAUGCUGAUGGAUGAGCCACCAGGUAGUCAGGAUGAUGACGAUGGUGGAACUGGAUUGAAGGGAAUUGGAAUGAAAGUUCUUGGAGGUACUACGGUUGUGGGCCUUUCCCGAACUAAUGGGUCAAUUGAGUUGGAGGAAUCUAAUGCCACUCACUCCGCAUCUUUUAAAUCUACUGCAAAAGCUCUCACCCUUAACAAAUUAAAUGAUAGCUCUCCUGCACAUACAAGUUUGUCAUCAGCUGUUAUCCCUGGAUUAUGGGAUGAUUUGCAUUCUCAACAUGUUGCUGUUCCAUUUGCUGCAUGGGCUUUGGCAAAUUGGGCAAUGGCCUCAGAUGUGAAUAGAUCCCAUAUCCAAGAACUUGACCAAGAUGGGCAUGCUGUCAUGUCUGCUUUGGUUGCUCCUGAGAGAUCUGUGAAAUGGCAUGGGAGUUUAGUUGCUCGGUUAUUGUUAGAAGACCGAAAUCUUCCCAUGAAUGAUUUUGUUUCCGAUUGGAGUUCUAGCCUUCUUACAACUGUGUCUCAAGCGAGCAAAACUGAUGAUGUCUCUUUGACUAGGGUGGCUUUGUCUGCAUUUUUAGUAUCUAUUGAGAGGUCCCCUGGGGCUCGAAAGGCAGUUAUGGAAAAAGGUCUUCAUCUAAUGAGGGAAACUGCUAAACGAACAAUGGAUCACAAGUUCGUACAAGAAGCAUUAGCAAAAGGUCUAGAAUCACUUUGUUCAGGGGACAUGCAUUUGUCUCUUCAGGAAGGACAGAAGUGGUCUUGCAUCUUGAUGCAGUGGGUAUUCAGAGAGACUUCAACUGAUGCUAUUAGAUCUUCUGCCAUAACAAUCCUUUCUCGCAUUUGUGAAGACUAUGGACCAUCUUCUGUACCAAUUUCUCAAGGUUGGUUAGCUAUUAUGCUUUCUGACAUUCUGAAAUCCAGGAAGUUAUCUCUUAAAGGGAGUGCUCAGCCUAGGGACAAAGUGAAGACUCAAAUCGAUCAGGCAAAUGUGGUUUCUGGCACACAGAGUGUCAACCAAUUGGCUAGUGCUGUGGUUAAUUUGGCUGCCAAUCAGCUGGGAACAGAAUCUGUUAAUGGUGAUUUGUAUUCUUUAGCAGAUUUUCUCAGCCUUGAACCCCUUGUUGGAGCAUACAAAAAUCUGAAGAAAGACAGCUUGCCUAAAGUGAAUGCUGCAGAUUCUGCACUGGCAACUCUGAAGGGGAUCAAAGCCAUGACAGAGAUUUGCAGCGAUGACUUGUUUUGUCAAGACGAAAUAGUUGAUUAUGGUGUAAUUCCUUUGUUGCGUCGCUUUCUAUUAAGAGAUGAUUACGAGAAAUUAUCAGCAACUGAAGCAUAUGAUGCAUCCAGAGACAUGGAAGCCAGGGAUCAUGGCGAGUCCUCCGUUUCUGAUGCACGUGAUCCAUCUAGCGUCCGUGUGCCACCCACAGCUCAUGUCCGCAGACAUGCAGCUCGGUUGUUAACAGUGCUCUCAGUCCAUCCAAAAGCCAAGAAGUUGAUACUAGAUGAUAACGCUUGGUGUAAUUGGCUUGAGGAAUGUGCAAAUGGAAAGAUCGCUGGAUGCAAUGACCUCAAAACUCAGAGUUAUGCUAGAGCAACAUUGUUAAAUAUCUUCUGCAAUGAUGAUGAUUCUGGAGAUGUUGUUAAUAAUGGUCGUCCUGGUGGCACGGAUAAAAAUCAUAGUUGUGCUCGUUAUCCGGAGAUGUUCUUUUUAAUCAACCCUGAACUAUCUCACUGGGAAUGUCCUAGAAAAGGAAGGCAGGAGUCUGCAGUAGAUACAUCAACAGAAAAUGAAAAUCAAAUUGAUCCCUUUAUAAGAGUGGACAAGGAGGCUAUUGAUGUUGAGAAUGGCCCCUUUACUAAAGUUCCCCGUGAUGCCAGCAUCCCUAAUUCUAAUACUAGAUCAGAGAGUCACACAGGAGAUCCUUCAUUCGACGUCAUCUUUGUUCAUGGGCUGCGUGGUGGACCAUUUAAGACUUGGCGGUUAUCUGAGUGCAAAUCAUCAUCUAAAUCUGGCCUCGUGGAAAAGAUUGAUGAAGAGGCAGGAAAACAAGGAACUUUUUGGCCUGGAGAGUGGCUUUCAGCAGACUUCCCUCAUGCUCGUUUGUUUACUCUUAAGUACAAGACAAAUCUUACACAGUGGUCUGGAUCAAGCUUACCUCUCCAGGAAGUUAGUUCCAUGCUGCUGGAAAAGCUAAUUGCAGCACGCAUUGGAGAUCGACCAGUUAUAUUCGUAACUCAUAGUUAUGUAUUGCAGCAUGGGGGGCUUAGUUGUGAAGCAAAUGCUGCAUCAGGCAAGUGCAGAAAACAGAGGCAAUCUUGUCAGAAACACUGUUGGUGUGGUGUUCUACAGUUGCCCACAUUUUGGUAGCAAACUUGCGGACAUGCCGUGGCGAAUGGGUUAUGUGUUUCGGCCAGCACCAUCGAUAGGCGAGUUGAGAAGUGGGUCUACAAGAUUAGUGGAGCUUAACGAUUUUCUUCAUGAUCUACAUAAAAAAGGGUCGCUCGAUGUUCUCAGUUUCUGUGAGACUAAAGUAACUCCAAUAGUUGAAGGCUAUGGGGGAUGGGCUUUUCGGCUGGAAAUAGUUCCAAUUGAAUCGGCAUAUCCUGGAUACGGGGAACUUGUUGUACUGGAGUCGACUGAUCAUGUAAAUUCAUGCAAACCUAUUAGCCGAACCGAUCCUUCUUACAGUGAAACGUUGCGUUUUUUGCUCAAACUUAGAGAUGCACAUCGAUGAAGAGCGCACCCUCUGUAGAUAACCAUAACACCAAGUACGGAGCGAAAGCUAAACACGAUUGGUUGACGAAAUGGCAUGUUGCACAGGUAGAGCGGCUAGAUUGUUCAAACGAGAAUACAGAAUUUACCAUUUUAGUCCCAUUUUGCCCUCUUGGUAAUUUUUUGACAGGUUCUUAUGCUGCUGCUAGAAUGCUAUUAUGAAACUGAUGGCUGUUGUAUGUAACAAAUGAGAAGAAUAAAAACAGGAACCAAAAUCUUGGAUUUCUUAUGUCAUUGGGGUUGUAAAUAUUACCAUAUUUAUUUUAUUUUAUUUUUAUUC
This is an RNA transcript of Cynara cardunculus var. scolymus (artichoke), 4071 nucleotides long. RefSeq lists it as uncharacterized. The transcript is spliced from 10 exons. The record is from RefSeq and is a predicted model, not a curated record. Lineage: Eukaryota; Viridiplantae; Streptophyta; Magnoliopsida; Asterales; Asteraceae.